This 62-nucleotide ribosomal RNA is filed under the name Colletotrichum gloeosporioides. RNAcentral's name for it is "partial 28S ribosomal RNA". The record is from RNAcentral. Lineage: Eukaryota; Fungi; Ascomycota; Sordariomycetes; Glomerellales; Glomerellaceae.
GGUUGACCUCGGAUCAGGUAGGAAUACCCCGCUGAACUUAGCAUAUCAAUAAGGCGGAGGAA